GUCAGGCAUGGUGGCCUAUGCCUGUAAUCCCAGUGGCUUGGGAGGCUGAGACAGGAGGAUAGCGAGUUCAAAGCCAGCCUCAGCAACAGCAAGGUGCUAAGCAACUCAGUGAGACCCUGUCUCUA
This 125-nucleotide small RNA is filed under the name Marmota monax (woodchuck). Lineage: Eukaryota; Metazoa; Chordata; Mammalia; Rodentia; Sciuridae. The record is from RNAcentral.